CCUGCAGAACUGCUGGCGCCCUAUACCGGUGAUGUGGCGGCAGAGGGGAUCAGCAAAGCGCUGCGCGGUGGGGCGAAGUUCAUUCAGCACGGGCUGGCACGCCAGCAGCGCUAUGUGGCGGAAACCCUGACUGAAGAGUGGCGACUGGCUCCCGGCGCGCUGGAAGUGGCCUGGUUUGCGGAAGAAACAACGGCCGUUGAGCGUGAUAUUGCCGCGCUGACGAAACGGUUGGAAAAACUGGAGGGGAAAUGA
This is a non-coding RNA of Kluyvera ascorbata ATCC 33433, 252 nucleotides long. NCBI's taxonomy places the organism in Bacteria, Pseudomonadati, Pseudomonadota, Gammaproteobacteria, Enterobacterales, Enterobacteriaceae. The record is from Rfam.